This 449-nucleotide ribosomal RNA is filed under the name uncultured bacterium. RNAcentral's name for it is "partial 16S ribosomal RNA". It matches the Rfam family "Bacterial small subunit ribosomal RNA", at positions 29 to 523 of the family's 1533-position model. The record is from RNAcentral.
AACGAACGCUGGCGGCAUGCCUAACACAUGCAAGUCGAACGAGACCUUCGGGUCUAGUGGCGCACGGGUGCGUAACGCGUGGGAAUCUGCCCUUGGGUUCGGAAUAACUCAGAGAAAUUUGAGCUAAUACCGGAUGAUGUCGCAAGACCAAAGAUUUAUCGCCCAAGGAUGAGCCCGCGUAGGAUUAGCUUGUUGGUGAGGUAAAAGCUCACCAAGGCGACGAUCCUUAGCUGGUCUGAGAGGAUGAUCAGCCACACUGGGACUGAGACACGGCCCAGACUCCUACGGGAGGCAGCAGUGGGGAAUAUUGGACAAUGGGCGAAAGCCUGAUCCAGCAAUGCCGCGUGAGUGAUGAAGGCCUUAGGGUUGUAAAGCUCUGUCGAAUGGGAAGAUAAUGACGGUACCAUUUGAGAAAGCCCCGGCUAACUACGUGCCAGCCGCCGCCGUAA